This 309-nucleotide small nuclear RNA is filed under the name Myotis davidii. Its description in RNAcentral is "7SK RNA". It matches the Rfam family "7SK RNA". Rfam says of the family: 7SK was discovered as an abundant small nuclear RNA in the mid-70s but a possible function has only recently been suggested. Lineage: Eukaryota; Metazoa; Chordata; Mammalia; Chiroptera; Vespertilionidae. The record is from Rfam by way of RNAcentral.
GGAUGUGAGGGCGAUCUGGCUGCGACAUCUGUCACCCCAUUGAUUGCCAGGGUUGAUUCGGCUGAUCUGGCUGGCUAGACAGGUGUCCCCCUCCUCCCUCACUGAUCCAUGUGUGUCUCUCCUGAGGCUGUGCGCUCGGUCAAAGAGGACGAACUUCCACCCAGAGAGGACCGGUCUUCUGUCAAGGGUAUACGAGUAGCUGCGCUCCCCUGCUAGAACCUCCAAAACAAGCUCUCAAGAUAACUUGUUAUGUAAAAUUAUUUAUUUAUCUAAGAUGCACCUACACUGAAUUUAUCUGAAAAAUAAAGU